UACAGAAGGCAGUAUGAAGAGGCAACUUAGCAAUGAGCUGGGGAGACAGCAGGACACUGACUUAAGCAGCAAACCUGAAGGCUGUGGACCAGUCUUGCGAAGCCUCCCAGAUGAUGGAUCCUGCUGGCGAGCUGACUCUUUCAAGGCUUUUGUAGAAAGAAAUUGCCAAAGGAAAUGAGAUCACAAAAGGAGCAAUAAAAAUGUUCACAUUCCCUAGAAGCGGAGAUGUUUCUUAUUAGUAACUUGGUGUUUGUCUCUGAUAACACAUGGAGAAUGCCUCAUACCUGUGCAGUUCAGAAGAGGUUCAGUGUUGAUGGAACUCCAGGACUCACCCUUCAACUCAGACUAUCAGAGGAACUCUUCCAAAACAAGAAGUGUUUUAUGAAUAGAUGAAUAGUAGUGAAGCAAUCUGAAAUGACUACUUUGUGUCCUUUAGUGAAAAUUCUUGCAUGUUUCAUUGUCAUUCAUGAGUCCUUUGGGGUGAACUUGAUAAGACAAAAAACUGCUUGAAGAAGGAAGAAGUUUCUUAUUUUCCUUCAAUUUUCUUCUUUAUAAUGGAAACAUUGAUCAGGGAGUUGGGAGUGUUUAGGUGAGAAGGGUGCAGUAGAGUUUAUUUGAUGCACUACAGUUAUAAGCAAAAAUUAAAAAAAAAUCAUGAAGCACACCCUUAAAAUGUAGGAAUUUAUUUCAGACUCCACAUACCCAUCUUUUUAGUCAAAGGGUGUCUGGAAAGAAAUGGAAACUUUAUAUGCAGGUAUAACCACGAGUCGUUCUGUACACUACCCCUUUCUUGCCGCAAGAGGGUAAUGUAGAGGCACCUUUCGUUCAUUAAGAAUGGGUUCUUUUAUAGAAAAUAAAUGCUUUACCUUCAAUUAACUGUGGAGCCCUUAAUGUCCCAGAUGAACUGAAGAACAUAUAUUUAACAACCGCAUGACUUGAUCAGCUAUGCCAGGGGAGUGGAUGGAACAUCUGGGACUCCCUCCCUGCAAAUAUACCCAGAGUUCCUUCACUGAAAGUGAAUGUGUGAGGGUAAAAGGUGAAUGGUGCAAACUCUCCUGAUAUGCCAUGAAGGGAGGUGGAAGAUGCUUCAGGGCCCCAGAGGUUUGUUGUAGAUCUUGGGAUUUCUGUUGGUCUAGUGACUUUUGACAGAUGCGCAAUAAUAUAUAUGCAGCUGUGCUAAGUUGCACUGGGAAGGAGGUAAAACCCUCUGGUUUGGGGCUGGAAUGACCGAGCAUGAGCAACAGGGAAUGAAUGGAGAUGAGUGGUUGAGUAAGAAGACCAGAGUUCAGUGGGAAGAACUACAAUAUAUAUAUCAAAAAGUCUGUGGUAACCAGCUGGUGGAAGCAACACAGAUUUUGAAGAAGAGUUCAGGGCAGAGAGGUGUGGGAUGAGAUCACAAGGUAAGGAAUGAAACAAACUGUGUGAGGAAUCUAGCAGAAGAAUGAUCAACUGGGAACAAGGAUGGUGCGAUUUCCAGUGUAGGAGGGAAGAAACAGGUAAGAUGAAUCUUGAGUGUUUGACCCUGGCUAAUGACUUGCUCUAGAAGUUGUUUAAGAGCUGUAGGCUAAUGAGGAGGCUGUCUAGGAAGGGCAGAGGAACUGACCUGAAAAGUUUUGAGCUUUGGACGCUGGGCUGGUAUAGACAAGUAAUUAGAGUUCAGAUGUAAGGGACAGAAAGAAGACUGGUAGAAGUGUGGCAGAAGGUUUCCAGUUUGGGACGGGAAUUGGGAGUUUCAGAAACUCCUCUUCAGGCUUCAGAAACUGGUCGGGGUCCAAGGAUUUCUGAUCUCAUCACCUCUGUAAAGCUGUAAAUAAUCAGGCAAGUAGCAACAGAGGCUGCUAACCUGAAUUGAGUCCCUUGGUGAAGUCACUCCAGUGAACAUAAAUACUCAUUUGUUGGGGAACAAUGCUAAAGUUAGGUGUUUGGUUUUAGUGUUCUGUUUUAUAACAAAACCUAACUAUUCUGUUAGGAAAAGCCUGUGAGAAAGCGUCUUCAAACAUGUCAAAAGCAGCGGCUGACUAUUUGCAGCAGUGAUAAUGAUCUGCAAUUUGGAAGGAGAACAGAAUGUUAACCAGCAAGGCUGCUGAGUACUGUCAUCUGAUCAGGGCUGGGGUCUUGUGACAAAAAUAGUAUGUGACCACGUAAUUAAAGGCUCCCAUAACGCACAUGCUCAGAACGGGUGAAGAGGCAAUCAUGAUGAGUGCGUAUUAUGUAUGACACUGCUGCAGCCUUGUUAGUGCUUCCAGUCAGAUGAGAAAUGAACAUUAACCAAGGCAAUGAAUGGGAACCUUCUGACUGAAUUCAUCUUAAGAGGCAAAAGAGAAAACCACUUUUUUUUUUUUCUACUAGUCAUCUUGAAUGAAUAAUAGUAAUCAGCAGCUAUUCUACAAGGCUGAUGCAUUCUUGCAGAAUGAAAGGAAAAAGCCUUACCCUGAAAGAGAUUUGGGGGCUUCUGCUUUACUUGGAAACAUGCAGCCCAUCCACAGCUGGGACUGGGGAUAAGAGGCUUUGUCAGUGGAGUCCAUGAGGUUCAGAGGGUCUCACACUGCUCUCACAGGCUGGAGCCUCAGAAGUCCUCAGGUGUGAGGCAUUACCUGUUGGUGAGAGAGGAGGAGGACAGAAGCCAAGAGGCACCAGCUCUGCCCAGUUACUGGAGGUGUAGUCUAUAAACUGCCACAAAGGGGCAGGAUUUACUUAUUUUUCAUAUGCAGCCCACUCGGAGACUUCAUCUUGGGCUCGUCCAUCCGUAAACACAAUGGAGAUUCGAGGGACAUUUGCUGAAAAUGGUCUUGCUCCUUCUGUUUCUGUGAAGCUUCUCUCAAACAUUUGCUUCAGAGCCAGUCCUGUCAUGGAACCUCGCCCCAUGUACUUCAUUUGCGAUACAGCUUUCUUCAUGUCUUUGGCUGAGCUGAACUGCCUUAAUGUAAACUCUGUGCGAACUUCAGUGGAAUACUGAAGCAAACCAACUCGAGCAGCUUUGGGUGAAAUUUCAAGUGAAUCCAAGAUUCCUGAGACAAAUUGUUUUACAAUUUCAAAAUUAUCCUCUCCAAGACUUUUUGAUCCAUCAAUCACAAACACCAGGUCAACUGGGCCUUCAGUGCAUCCUGUGAAAUAAGCAGCAGAGUGUUCAGAUCAUGAAAAAACUCCACAAAGCUGAAAAAGGGACCUAGGUAACCAGGGACUGUAUAAACUUAGAGAUCACCUGAGUUUCUGGCUCAUCCAACUUUGCCAGUGUGUCUAAAGAUGUUGUGUACAGUCUAUAUCAAAAGCUAAGAGUGUGCCUAUAACCAAGAGUUUAACAAAAAUAUAAUCACAGUGAAUACGUACUGAGACAUACUGCUUCGCAGAAUACUACAACUCUUAAAAAUACAGCAACAAUCAGCAAAUUUUAAGAAUGACUGUUAAGUGGAGAGAAUUGCGUAACUGAAGAACAUAGCUAGGAUAUAGAGACAGCUGCCAUCAUUUUCUUUCAGGGAUAGGCCAGUAUGCUAACUUUACAUUUGUGUAGAUGACCAGCACUAAAAGACAUGGAAGAGAAUCAUUGGAGCUGCAUUUGUGUUGCAGAAGUAGCAAAAAGGUGAAGGUGGUACAAAGAAAUGAGUCAGUGAAACCACACUUGUAUAUAAGGUGAAAAUCUAGGAGUCAUAUUUAGAGUGGCAGGAAACAGUGAGGCAAAAGCCAAAGAGCCUGGGGAAGGCUGAGCGAGAAGAGAAGGGUUAGGCAGCCUGUCCUAGGGCGUAGGAUGAGGGUCAAGUCUGGGGACAAAAUUCAGACAAUGCACAUGUUUUUAUAGCACAAACUUAAACCUGUAGUGGCAGAAAAACAGCUAAAAAACUAUAGGUGAGAGAGUAAAUGCUAGAAAAGUGCCUAGCUGCUAAACAUGGAUCAGAGUUGUUUAUAUAAGUUUUUUUGCUUGUAACUCUCUAACAGUCUUGUAAUUAGAAGGCUUAUGUAUUGCUGAAAUUAACCUUUUCUGGUUUACCCAUUAAAGCUGGGAGUUUGUCAGGAGACUGACAAAUUUGGAGUUCUCAUACUUUUUGGCGAGUGCACACACAAAAAUCAAAGCAGUUUGUAGGCACUGUGCAUCCAUGACAAGGUUAGGGAAUUUAGGGACUGGAGAAUAUCUUUGAAGCUGCAGACUGGUUCUGCCAGGUGUUUUUUUAUUCUGGAAAGCAAUUGCCUCCAGCAGGCAUAGACUAGUGCACUUUGUGCAAGGGGCUGGCUGCAGAGAUUCUCAGCUCCUAUUUGAUCAAUAUAACUUCCAGGGAGAAUUUGCCAUACUAAGGAAUGUAAGAUUUGCAUCUUAGUCUGGAGCAAAUGAACUUUGACCUCCACUCAUCUCUGAUGUUUGUAUAGUAAGAACGCUGUAAGCGCUAUACAAGAGAGAACUGUGCAGCAGAAAUUACUUUGACUGCAGAAAUUACUGUUACCAAGUCAGUGUAGGAGUAAGGAAUUUUCAGCUUUAAAGCUUGGGCUUUUCUUCUUAGACUGUAGCUCAGUUUUAAAACUGCUGUCCAAGAAUUCCUUUCUGCAGUCAUCUGAGGAAAAGAUGUGUCACACAUACUAAGGCAAUGGAAAUGCAAUGAAUACAAAUAUCAGAACCACCUCAAUAUCAUUGCGUAAGUCAAGAUAGGGCAGCAGUUCAUGGUGAAUGGUUUUAGUUAGGAUUGAGAUCAGCCAUGAACAUGUUACCAUUCUUUUGGUAAUAACAGUCUCCCCAACUAAGGCAUCCAUUUUUGCAGAAUAAAUGUUUUUACUGAGUUCCAGUAGAAGAAUUUCUCUUCCAAGUAUUAAGGGGUGAUGAGAUAAAUGCAUGUCAUACUCUAAGCAUGUCAUGUUGGAAGAUAAGCAAAUAGAAUUAAUCAUAUUUUAAAAUGGAGUAUAUAAAGAUAAAAGCUUCACAAUAUAUGAAUCUGAUUAAAGUGCACACUCCUUGAUAAUCAGAUUUCACUUUGGCUUUUUUCCUGAUGUUUGGAAAGAAUUAUUAUUGUACUUGGUGCAACACCAAAACAACUGUUCCAGUUUGUUAGUUUUUUGCUUAUGAGAGCAUCAAGUUAAUUGUUCAAGACAUUUUGCAUCACACUCACAUAUGCCUUGGGCUUUCAAAUAUCAUACCAUUUUUGAAGUGAGGCAUUUUUUGAAGUGAGGCGUUUGAAGUGAGGUCAAGUAAUUUUAGAAAUCAAGCAAACAAAUGCUUUCUAAAUAAAAUGUACUUACUUCUGCA
This is a long non-coding RNA of Harpia harpyja (harpy eagle), 5224 nucleotides long. RefSeq lists it as uncharacterized. The record is from RefSeq and is a predicted model, not a curated record. Lineage: Eukaryota; Metazoa; Chordata; Aves; Accipitriformes; Accipitridae. The transcript is spliced from 3 exons.